CAGGCAGGAGAGUCACAUUACCUGGGUGCUUGGCCCAGUGGUAUGUCACAAUCCCUUAUGUAGGGAGGGCACAGGUAGCAAAAGACUGUCACAUCAUCUAGUUGCUGGACUAGAGCUAUUGGUCUCUCGGUCGUUCAGGGAGAGGUUUAGGAUCUCCUUAGACAUCCAUGUAACAGAGCCCCAACUCAUCCGUGCUCAGAAGCAAAGGCCAGUGGAGACCAAAUAAGGCUUGAAAGCAUACUUUUGAUCAUCGUCCCUGUCGUCACAAUGGGGCGCCUGACACCAUGGAGACCCUGGAAACCCUCUGAACUCAGGCCCUGCAGGGGUCAGGUGAACAUGUAGGAAGUCCAGGAGAAAAGUCAUCUGCCGUCUCCAGAAUGAACAGCAUUCCAGGAAGAACCCCCCCACACUCCAGGAAGAAGUCAUGAGCCCAGUGGGGAGGCAGGUCCAGCCUGCAACAACUUAGACAUAUGCGGUGCUCCAUAGCUCAUGCUUGUGUCCUGCAGGCAGGAGCCCAUGCCAGCAUCCGCAGUCUUUGUUCUGGGUGUGGAAUUAGUGCUUCAGCUGGUUCCCCAGGCGUCCCCAGAGGGGGAAAGGGUGGAAAAGGUAAGAAUCUUCAGCACAGCAGAUCGCCUUGCCCUGGCAGCGACCAGCCCUGCCCCUGAGGGGCACCAGCAGCCCCCAACUAGAGGCAGUCAUGUCAGGCCUCCUCCCUACAGCAUCUCUCCUGCCUUUUUUUUUCUUUUUUUCACCGCCCUAACCCCCUACUUUUGGUCAUCCUCCUUGUCACAAUGGGGCACCUGCACUGUAGAGACUCUAGAAACACGCAGAUCUGGGGUCCUGCAGCAUCCAGGCUAACAUGCCGGGAAUCAGAGAGAAAAGUCCUCUGAAGCCUCCAGAAGGAAUGGAACAGGACCCGUCACUGCAGGAAGAAGUGGGGCACCCAGUGGCAGAUGGAGGCCCCACGCACUGCAGAGGUAAACGUGUAAGGCGCUCCCUGGCCCGCGCCUGUUUCCUGGAUGCUGGAGUCCGUGACCC
RNAcentral lists this long non-coding RNA (1038 nucleotides) under Pan troglodytes (chimpanzee). RNAcentral's name for it is "long non-coding RNA NONPTRT006306". Lineage: Eukaryota; Metazoa; Chordata; Mammalia; Primates; Hominidae. The record is from RNAcentral.